RNAcentral lists this ribosomal RNA (301 nucleotides) under uncultured bacterium. RNAcentral describes it as "partial 16S ribosomal RNA". It matches the Rfam family "Bacterial small subunit ribosomal RNA", at positions 509 to 807 of the family's 1533-position model. The record is from RNAcentral.
CAGUAGCCGCGGUAAUACGUAGGGUGCGAGCGUUAAUCGGAAUUACUGGGCGUAAAGCGUGCGCAGGCGGUGCUGCAAGACCGAUGUGAAAGCCCCGGGCUUAACCUGGGAACUGCAUUGGUGACUGCAGCGCUGGAGUAUGGCAGAAGGGGGUGGAAUUCCACGUGUAGCAGUGAAAUGCGUAGAGAUGUGGAGGAACACCGAUGGCGAAGGCAGCCCCCUGGGCCAAUACUGACGCUCAUGCACGAAAGCGUGGGGAGCAAACAGGAUUAGAUACCCCAGUAGUCCCUGUCUCUUAUAC